CCCCUAGACGUUCUGGGCUGCACGCGCGCUACAAUAAUACGCCCAGCGAGUAUCACCGAGCUCGAAAGGGCAAGGUAAACAAUAGAAAAGGUACUGUAAUGGUUAUAGAUCCUUGUAAUUAUUGAUCUUCAACGAGGAAUUCCUAGUAAGUAUGUGUCAUCAUCACGCACUGAUUACGUCCCUGCCCUUUGUGCACACCGCCCGUCGCUCCUACCGAUUGGGUGAGCCGAUGAAACUCUCGGAUGUAGGCUAUUCAUAGCCCGCAGAAGAGAUUUGAAUCGUAGCGCUUAGAGGAAGGAGAAGUCGUAACA
This 311-nucleotide ribosomal RNA is filed under the name uncultured eukaryote. RNAcentral describes it as "partial 18S ribosomal RNA". It matches the Rfam family "Eukaryotic small subunit ribosomal RNA", at positions 1470 to 1796 of the family's 1831-position model. The record is from RNAcentral.